This 72-nucleotide transfer RNA is filed under the name Mexistrophia reticulata. RNAcentral's name for it is "tRNA-Arg". The record is from RNAcentral. Lineage: Eukaryota; Metazoa; Mollusca; Gastropoda; Stylommatophora; Cerionidae.
GUUUUUAAAGCGAAAAGAUCGCAUUAAGUUUCGGCCUUAAUUAUUUGAAAUUAUUUAUUUCUAAAAGCACCA